CAUUCUGGGUUAUUCUCCUAGAUACAUAAUUUAUUAGGAUACUUUACAUUUUAAAAGAGACCUCAGAAUAAGCUUCUUAUUGCCCUUCAAGUAUUGCCAGCGCUACCCAUCAGGAAACCCUGACCUUAAAAUCGUGAAUGUAAAGUAAUAUCUUUUUUUUUUUUUUUUGUGGAUUUAUUUUCUAUGAGCUUGUCCAGGUGUGUUUUUCCCCCUUGGCAGUUCAUGCGGGUUAGCUGCCUUGUGUUCAUGAUUCCUUAUCCGUGUCCCUCCCAGCGAGAGAAGGAAACAACAGAAUUGAAUGGAUUUUGGUGUGGUCCUCCUGAACUGGAGCUGAAAGCUGACCUGUGAUGGGCAAUCCAGCCCUUUAAAUAAAGCCAGGGGAAAACAUUUCUGGUCUGGAGUCAGGCCUGAAUUAGAAGUUACGGGUCAUUAGUCUCUUUUUUAAACCAUGCCUAGGGUUGGGUAGGGAUCAGCAAUGAGCAGAUGGCAAGGUACUAGACUGAAGGAGACAUUUGACUUUUUGCUUGCAUUGCAAGUGCAAGGUUAUGAUGCGGCGUUCCCAUUCCUGCUGAAAUGUUGUUGGCAGUCUCAGGGAACAAGUAGCCCAGGGAGCUGUGCUCAGGGGGACAGCCAGGUGGGCAGGCAGAGUCACUUCUGGGAAUGGCUUUCACCUGGUCUCAUUUUGGCCAGGUGCUGCCUGUUUUCUCCUGCAUGCCCUUUUUUGCUGCAGCAGGAGGUUAGCAGAGAGUAAUUUUGAAGAAAGGUAUUGUGGAGGUAGAAGUAUUUUUUUUUCUCUUUGAAACAUUAUGAAAUUUUAUAUUUACCUUUACAAGAUCUAUAUCAGAAGAGAUGGAGCUAUCUGGGAAGAUUUUUGUUUGUGUGAUGUGUUUGUUGUGGUGCAGUGCUGUGGGAGACUUUGUGCAUGGCUGCAGGUGAAAAGGAGAAGCAAAUAGGAAGGACUCAUAAGAUCCCUGAACAUGUCCAGAGCACGCUGAGGGAUGUGAGUGUAGUUACCAGCGCUCCGGCAGCGUAUGGCAGGAAGGAUACUGACACUACUCCACACUCUGAAAUUCGGAGAAGGCUGAUGGGGAAGAAUCGAGGGAUUGCAGAGCAAAAGGUCUGGCUGAAUGCUCCUCAGGGGAGAUGUGUAAUGAAAAGGAGCAGGGGCAGAGGCUGGAAAUGGCAGCAGGGGGAACACAGGCAUGUUCUCCACAUGUGCCUUUGAGGGGGCUGUAAGAAUGAGGAACAAAUCCCCUGCUGCAAUGGGAAGUGGGGGUGAAGACACCUGUGGAAGUGAAAAGAAGGGGCUGAAGGAAGUAUCAUGGUACUAUUUCAUUUCUGCCUCUUGUUGGUAAUGCUGGAAAGGCUGGUUGUGUUUGGAGCAAAACAACUGCCUCAUGCAGAUUUACCCUGACAGAUGGUAACAAACACAUCCAGCUCUGAGCAGGCAAGGGGCAAUGCCUUUGCUUUUGAGUCAGGGCUGUCACUGAGACAGCAACCAAAAUGAAACGAAAAGAAAGCACGCGUUAAGCUAUUAAUCAAGCCGCAAAAAAGCGGGUGAGCCUGUAGGUUCUGUGUGCUACUCAGAAAGCAGAGUAUAUAAAGGCUAACGCAGGGAGAAAAAAAUGAGUCUUCCUAUGAAAGGAUAGGCUGUGUUCCUGUAGUGCUGAAAAUUUGGAAGAUAUUAAGAGCUUUAUAUGAAAACUCAUUACCUGCUAAGCAUGCAGCAUUCUUUAAGCAAAUGCACAUAGUACUUUGCAGCAAAUGUAGUGCCUAAAACUUUAAUGGCAUAAUGAUAUUUCGAUGUUAAAUCUGACAUUUUCGUUUGUCUUCACUGGCUCAGUGUCUCUGAUAGAUGAGGAAAUUGGAGAGAGAAGAAAAGAGGAAGUAAUAUCUAAUUCAAUACCAAUUACCGUCAUUUUUCCUGUUUCUUUAUUCUCUGUAUCUACGUAGAGUAAAAUAUGAG
Molecule: long non-coding RNA, 1966 nt
Filed under: Anser brachyrhynchus (Pink-footed goose)
Lineage: Eukaryota; Metazoa; Chordata; Aves; Anseriformes; Anatidae
Description: lncRNA (ENSABRG00000022068.1)
Source: RNAcentral